AUGGAGAAAGGGGACAAAGAUAGUGAUUCCGUCAACAAAGCCAUCGAAGACCUGUACAACGCCGUAUGCAAGCCAUGGACACAGAGAGAAAUGGAUGAGCUUUUCAUUACAACGAACAAGUUUGAUGUCAAUCUAGGCCAUGUCGCCGAAAGCUUCAAGGUCGGUAAAUCAGUACACACCGAAGCAAUCGAGCCCAUGCUAACAAUCUUGAGAAAACAACUAAAUGGCACAAAGAGAAAGAUUAUGUCGUUAAGCAACACUUUCCUUCUACCAUGUUCGUUGCGCGGGUUUGAGCAAGACGAAAAUACAAGUCAUUACUUCACCAUUACAGUUAACAUGCAAAAACAGCGCUUUGAACUCCUUGACUCUUCAACUGCAUAUCCAGGCACAAUAGAAUUCUUUAACAAUGUAACCAGCAAAUUAAUGAAAAUAUGGAAGCACGUAAGCAUAGAGCUACAGCUUUCACAAAAAAGUAUCGACCAUUUCAAAAGGGUCAAACUGCAGGUGCCACUUCAAGGAGAAGACACAAUGGACUGUGCAUUCUAUAUGUACAUGAACCUGAAGCACUACUCCAAUGAUGGAACAGCAGCAACCUUAGAGCCAGAACAAGUACCAGAGUUGAGGAAAAAAAUUCUAAAUCAACUAAUCAGUCAACACAGAGGGAAUACCAAACUGUCAUUAAUCAAGUGUACAACAGAUAUGCUGAAGUAUGAAGUCGAUAUGGGAGACAAAGAAAUGCAACAGACAGAAUGUUGCGUACUAGAAGAGUUUCCGCCAAAUCCCGAGCCAAAAGAACAUAUUAUGCAUGCGACAACCACAAAAGAGCAUGAAGUUAUUGAUAUAUCCAGUAAACACAAAGAGGUUAUGGAUGUCAGCAGACACGCCAUCGCCCAAGAAUCUUGCACAGACCACGAAGAAAAGGAUCCACCAGUAGAACCAGAUCAACCACCACCAGACGACAAGAUACCACACCAUGCUGAAGAGCAAACGGACGAGCAAAAUAUCAACAGCAAUACCCCGAGCACAGAGCAACUUGAACAAACAUGCACUAAUUUAAAAGAGGAUGGCACAAGCAACGACGUACCAAAUACACAAGAACAGGACGAAGUUGAUGAAUUUCUUUCAAGCCUUAACCCGCUCCAACUAGAGGAAUACAACAAGCAUGUAAAGAUGGGCGUUGGAUUCGAUGUAAUCAAAACAUGGCUGAAUGACCAUGAAAGCUAUGAAUUUAACAAAGAUCCCACGCCGUAUCUGACAAUCUUGCAGCAAGAAUCAGGAGAACAUUCAAUGCCUCAAUCAUCUGAGAACAGCUCAGACAAGAAAAUCUCGGUCAAGAAGAGACCGGUAAAGCCUUCAAGAAAGCUGCAUGAAAAAAUUCCUACUUUUGUCCCAGGAGAUUUCAAAUUUAUGAACAAAGCCAGAGCACUUCAUGAAUACCUAUUCAGCAAAGAAGGACAGGACGAAUGCGGAGAUCUAAACGUACAUAUUAGCUCGAAGCGACCCGAUUGGAUUACAGGAGAACAAAUGGUGGAACAGCUACGGAAAGGAGAUCAUGGACAGAUGGAGGGAUCCAUCGCAAACGCAUUGUUCGAAGAAUGGACAGUGCAGCAACAAUACAACACAACCGAUAAAGCCAUACUUCCCGCAGAAUUUGCAAACAUCGUGCUCGGUGUUAAAAUUGGAGAAAAAGGAGGACUAGCAGAAUUCAAUGAGGACGAAGCAUUGAAACAGUUUGCACCCCUUGUAACAGGGAAGGAACUUUUAAAGAAAAAGCUGAUUAUGAUACCUCAGAACACAGCUAAACACUACACACUGUACGUGCUCAACAAGUACACGAGCUCCAUCGACAUACUUGACUCACUAAAUUACAGAGACGGAGACGAUUAA
This 1887-nucleotide ribosomal RNA is filed under the name Triticum aestivum (bread wheat). RNAcentral's name for it is "partial small subunit ribosomal RNA". The record is from RNAcentral. Lineage: Eukaryota; Viridiplantae; Streptophyta; Magnoliopsida; Poales; Poaceae.